AUACAGAGGGUGCGAGCGUUAAUCGGAAUUACUGGGCGUAAAGCGCGCGUAGGCGGCUUAUUAAGUCAGAUGUGAAAUCCCCGGGCUCAACCUGGGAACUGCAUCUGAUACUGGUAAGCUAGAGUUUUGGAGAGGGAAGUAGAAUUUCAGGUGUAGCGGUGAAAUGCAUAGAGAUCUGAAGGAAUACCAGUGGCGAAGGCGACUUCCUGGCCAAAAACUGACGCUGAGGUGCCAAAGCGUGGGUAGCAAACGGGAUUAGAAACCCCAGUAGUCC
Molecule: ribosomal RNA, 274 nt
Filed under: uncultured bacterium
Lineage: Bacteria
Description: partial 16S ribosomal RNA
Rfam family: Bacterial small subunit ribosomal RNA
Source: RNAcentral